GUUAUAUUCAGAAGUCUGUAUUUUUUGUGUGUUUUAAAGACAUUUUGCAAAAGGGGGCCUCGGUCAAAUGUUAAUGCUAUUUGGGGGGCAUUGCCCUGGAAAAGUUUGGGAACCCCUGGUAUAGAACGUCUUUGUAUGCUGUAACUUUACAAUUUCCCUUCACUGGAACCAAGAGACCCAAACCUGUUCCGGCAUGACAAAGCGAGCUUCAUGAAGACACGCCGUGUUAAGGUUGGAAGAACUCGAGUGUCCUGCACGCAGCUCUGACUUCAACACCUUUGAGAUGAACUGGAACGCCGACCGCACCCCCAGACCAAAAAACACAUGGGUGCGAUGGUCAGAUGCCUACAAACGUUUGGCCACGCAGAGUAUACAUCAGCGCUUACUAAAUCUUAACAUAUCAGAUGCAGUGCUAUCGUCCAAUAGCUUGAAUAGUUGUCUUGUUACUUGAAAAGUGUAUAGCAUCAUGCUGAAGGCUGAGGUUUACAACCAUAAAAGAGUAUUUGGUUGGUUUCUGAAGCAUGUGUUGUAGUUAAAGCGUUGCGAAGCACAUUACAAAAAUAAUAAUAUAAUAAUAAUAAUAAUAAUAAUAAUACGAGUUGGCGAUCCAACCCGGCUGCACUGUCUUCAACUGUGUUCAUGACUUCAUACGGAAAAUACGUAAAGAAUAACCGAAUCUGGAUUUCCGUGUUCAAAUUUGAAAAAUAUUUUAAUAUUUACACGCCUUCACGUUUAUACUGCUAGUCACAGACAUUGACGAUAGCUCUCCUCUCAAAUGGCGAAAAAAUAUUUUCACUUUCCGCGUGAGUCUCGUUGUUCACGUAUUUGCUAGCGUAUCUUACAUACAUACGGAGGAUCAAAAGCAGCGUCCGCUAGAUGGCGUGUCAGAGCCGCGACAUCUCCGUCCAACCGUGACGCUUAGCGAGCUCACGCGCACGGGCGUUUAACACGCCGACGAGCUCGGUUUCGGUUUCAAACUUUCAGUGGUCGUUGCGACUGUCGUCAUGAUCCGAGUCUGAGUUCGAAAAACCCUCGAAAAUGCGACUUUCGACAGGAUCGGUCACUCGGUGAGCUAAAUUGUUCUUUUAAAAAGUCUAGAUACGGCUUACGUUCAUUCCUUAUCUACUCAUUUGAUCUGUACGUUCGGUUUUUGUGUAAAGUGCACUUCACUAUGGAAGAGUGUUCACCUUUAACAAGGCUACAACAGACCAAGUUCCUCUCAGUUACGCAACGCCUUACUUAACAACUUUCAUACGCCAAAACGGACAAACGAAGGUCGCUGCGGUCUCUUGUACUAGUCAGUGGCACAGGACCUCGUUAGCUCAUAAAAACGGGGGUGGGAAAGUGAAGGGGGAAAGGCUCACAGGAGCAGGUGGAGCAGAUUAAGCCCCUGCCGCUCGCCUAAUAAAACCAACAUGACCUGUUAACCCGCUGCCAAGACAGAGGAUGAUACUUUUUCAAUAUUAAAUCGCCGGCUAAACGCCCCGAGAGCUGCGCCGACCCAAUUCUGUCCCAGCGACGUGGCGAAUGUAGCGGUAGCAACGCCAUCAUCUUCUUUGUCUUCUGCCCCCAAGAUGGUUUCCCUAGAAAUGCGUGCGAGAGGAUAAGUAGCGCGGUCCCCGUGCUUGACGGGAGCUUCGUUCUGAAAAACCGUCAGCCACUUUCUCCGCGAAGCCGCAACAAAGGAAAUGAAUGAGGUCCCGUCACUCACUUCGCUCCGACACUAAAGCUGCAGAUUGGAGGGGAGGAGGGCAUCGAGAGAAAGAACGGGGAGAAGAAGAAGAAGGGAAAAAAAAAAAGCGCCCUCGCCCAGCAUUCAGUCAGGAAACACCUGGCACAAAGCUUGUGAGACAACACUUCCAAAGUACUCGACCGA
Ictalurus punctatus (channel catfish) is the source of this 1876-nucleotide long non-coding RNA. Lineage: Eukaryota; Metazoa; Chordata; Actinopteri; Siluriformes; Ictaluridae. The record is from Ensembl.